GACGAACGCUGGCGGCGUGCUUAACACAUGCAAGUCGAACGGAAAGGCCCUGCUUUUGUGGGGUGCUCGAGUGGCGAACGGGUGAGUAACACGUGAGUAACCUGCCCUUGACUUUGGGAUAACUUCAGGAAACUGGGGCUAAUACCGGAUAGGAGCUCCUGCUGCAUGGUGGGGGUUGGAAAGUUUCGGCGGUUGGGGAUGGACUCGCGGUUUAUCAGCUUGUUGGUGGGGUAGUGGCUUACCAAGGCUUUGACGGGUAGCCGGCCUGAGAGGGUGACCGGCCACAUUGGGACUGGGAUACGGCCCAGACUCCUCCGGGAGGCAGCAGGGGGGAAUAUUGCACAAUGGGCGGAAGCCUGAUGCAGCAACGCCGCGUGCGGGAUGACGGCCUUCGGGUUGUAAACCGCUUUCGCCUGUGACGAAGCGUGAGUGACGGUAAUGGGUAAAGAAGCACCGGCUAACUACGUG
RNAcentral lists this ribosomal RNA (468 nucleotides) under uncultured bacterium. RNAcentral's name for it is "partial 16S ribosomal RNA". It matches the Rfam family "Bacterial small subunit ribosomal RNA", at positions 28 to 507 of the family's 1533-position model. The record is from RNAcentral.